UGCCCAAUGGCCAAGCUGGUUAAGGCACCCGACUGUUAUGCUAAGACUUAUCCUACUAAGGCUUACGAGCAGUUUCUUCGGAUGAUCGGGAGAUCGUAAGUUCGAUCCUUACUUGGGCAG
RNAcentral lists this transfer RNA (120 nucleotides) under Kwoniella dejecticola CBS 10117. It matches the Rfam family "tRNA". Rfam says of the family: Transfer RNA (tRNA) molecules are approximately 80 nucleotides in length. The record is from Rfam by way of RNAcentral. Lineage: Eukaryota; Fungi; Basidiomycota; Tremellomycetes; Tremellales; Cryptococcaceae.